UGCCUUUGAUCUGGGUCUUGUCAAGGUGUU
RNAcentral lists this non-coding RNA (30 nucleotides) under Macaca fascicularis (crab-eating macaque). The record is from RNAcentral. RNAcentral also lists the same sequence under 1 other name. Lineage: Eukaryota; Metazoa; Chordata; Mammalia; Primates; Cercopithecidae.